This 355-nucleotide ribosomal RNA is filed under the name uncultured Desulfobulbus sp. Its description in RNAcentral is "bacterial SSU rRNA". It matches the Rfam family "Bacterial small subunit ribosomal RNA", at positions 1027 to 1382 of the family's 1533-position model. The record is from RNAcentral. Lineage: Bacteria; Pseudomonadati; Thermodesulfobacteriota; Desulfobulbia; Desulfobulbales; Desulfobulbaceae.
UCUGGAGACAGGUGCUGCAUGGCUGUCGUCAGCUCGUGUCGUGAGAUGUUGGGUUAAGUCCCGCAACGAGCGCAACCCUUGCCUUUAGUUGCCAGCAGUUCGGCUGGGCACUCUAAAGGGACUGCCAGUGUUAAACCGGAGGAAGGUGGGGAUGACGUCAAGUCCUCAUGGCCUUUAUGACCAGGGCUACACACGUACUACAAUGGCCGAUACAAAGGGCAGCGACACUGCGAGGUGAAGCCAAUCCCGUAAAAUCGGUCUCAGUCCGGAUUGGAGUCUGCAACUCGACUCCAUGAAGUUGGAAUCGUUAGUAAUCGUGGAUCAGCAUGCCACGGUGAAUACGUUCCCGGGCCUU